AUUGAACGCUGGCGGCAUGCCUUACACAUGCAAGUCGAACGGCAGCACGGGUGCUUGCACCUGGUGGCGAGUGGCGAACGGGUGAGUAAUAUAUCGGAACGUGCCCUAGAGUGGGGGAUAACGUAGCGAAAGUUACGCUAAUACCGCAUACGAUCUACGGAUGAAAGUGGGGGAUCGCAAGACCUCAUGCUCCUGGAGCGGCCGAUAUCUGAUUAGCUAGUUGGUGGGGUAAAAGCCUACCAAGGCGACGAUCAGUAGCUGGUCUGGGAGGACGACCAGCCACACUGGGACUGAGACACGGCCCAGAAUCCUGCGGGAGGAAGCAUUGGGGAAUUUUGGACAAUGGGGGAAACCCUGAUCCAGCAAUGCCGCGUGUGGGAAGAAGGCCUUCGGGUUGUAAAGCACUUUUGUCAGGAACGAAACGGUGGGGGCUAAUACCUCCUGCUAAUGACGGUACCUGAAGAAUAAGCACCGGCUAACUACGUGCCAGCCGCCGCCGUAA
Molecule: ribosomal RNA, 502 nt
Filed under: uncultured bacterium
Lineage: Bacteria
Description: partial 16S ribosomal RNA
Rfam family: Bacterial small subunit ribosomal RNA
Source: RNAcentral